Molecule: long non-coding RNA, 2751 nt
Filed under: Macaca mulatta (Rhesus monkey)
Lineage: Eukaryota; Metazoa; Chordata; Mammalia; Primates; Cercopithecidae
Description: lncRNA (ENSMMUG00000065157.1)
Source: RNAcentral
UAUGAAUGUCUUCUUUUGAGAAGUGUCUGUUCAUAUCCUUUACCCACUUUUUGAUGGGGUUGUUUGUUUUUUUCUUGUAAAUUUGAUUGCAUUUUUUAUAGGUUCUGGAUAUUAGCCCUUUGUCAGACAGAAACACAGAAUAAGAGAAGGAAAGUGGCACCAAGAUAAUAAAUACCUCAGUGAAAGAGGCUAGAUUUGAGCUUCGAAUUAUAUCGACAGAGCUCUGAUUCCAAACCUCCUGAUCUGUUAAAGAGAACAGAAUCAUAGAUUCACCUCUAUGGUGGAGUAAAGAUGGUCACAAAAUCUUUGACACUUUUCCCAUUGUGAGAUGGAGUCUAUGUCUCUUCCACUUGAACUCGGGUGGGCUCUGCGACUGCUCUGAUGGAUAGAAUCUGGUGGAAAUGACACUGGCAGUGUCUGGCCUUAAGAAACUGACAGCUUCUGCUUCCUAUCACCUGGAACACUAACUAUUGAAAGGCAGCUUCUAUGUGAGUAGGAUGACCACCCUGAGAGUACCAUGUUGUGAGAAGCCAAGGCCAUGUGAAGAGUCCAUGGAGGAUGAGACAUUAUGUGGAGCAAGAGAGAGACCGAAGAAGACCGAGAUGCUGGACAGAGGAGUGAGACAUAGGAGCCCUCUGGGAAGUCCAUACCCAGCCCCAGUGACUCGGGCUGACAACACGUGAAUCAGAAACAAGUUGCCCAGCUGCAGUCAUCAUGAAUUCCCAAUCCAAAAUUUUAGAUGGAGUCUCGCUCUUGUCACCCAGACUGGAGUGCAGUGGUGCGAUCUUGGCUCACUGCAACCUCCGUCUCCUGAGUUCAAGCAAUUCUCAUACCUCAGCCUCCUGAGUAGCUGGGAUUACAGGUGCCCACCACCACAGCCAGGAUUUCAGAUUGAGAGGACAUGCACUUGAGGAACCAAACCCAAGAUUUAUUUGUACCUGGAUCUGAGAUCUGGAACCUUGAGCCUAAGCUUAAUAAUGUAAGGGGAUGAGACUUUUGGGGGCUGCAGAAGAUGAUUAGCACAUUUUCAUGUGGGGAGAGUAUUGUUUGUGACCACAGGGCAGAGUGUGGCACAUCAAAGAUGGCCACAAAUUCUUUGACAUUUCUCCCAUUGAUAAGUGGGAAGCUUGUGUUCCCCUGCUUAAAUCUGGUUAGAUCCUAUGGCUGUUUUGAUCAAUUGAAUAUGGCCAAAGUGAAGUCGUGCCAGUUUCUUGAACCAGGUUUUAGGCAGUUGGCAACUUUCACUUCCUGUUCCUUGGAACUCUCAGUUUUGGGAUCCAGCUACCUCUUGAGAAGUAUGAUUGUACUGACACUACCAUGCCAUGAGAUGCCCAGCCACACAGAGGAGGAGGCAUCGUGCAGAGAGAGAACCAUAGAGAAUCCAUGUAUCAUGCAUGAGCGAGAGUCAUCUUGGAAGUGGAUUCUCCAGUCCUAGCUGAUGCCUCAUGGAUUAGCAAGAAACUCAGAAUGCAUGAUGCAUAAAACCCCUGAGCAAAAUAAACAGGCAGUUUUGAGCCAGUACAUUUAGGGUAGCUGAUUAUACAGCCACAGAUGACCAGAACAACUUCUUGGAAUUCACUAUUUAAUCAAAAGCACUUGCUCUUCCUGUCACGAAAAUUGUUGGUUAUACAAAAUUGGAGUUUGUCUGACCUCAUGACUUCUGGCCAAUAGAAUGCAGCAGAAGUGAUGUCUCCAUUUUGAGCCUGGGCCUCAGGAGGCUCGUGUCCUUCUGCUCUUUCUCUUGGAAGCUUUGGAGGCUGAGGACAUGAGUUAUCCCAGCUGCCUCCCUGGCUGACCACAAAUUUAUGAGCAAGCCAAGCUGAGGUCAGCUGAGCCCAGCAGCCUAGAAGAACCCGCCCCGUUGGACCCAGCCUAAAUUGCCAACCCACAGAACCAUGAACUGAAAAAUGGUUAUUGUUAAGCUGUAAGUUUUAAAGCGGUUUCUUAAAUAGUGAGAGCUAACUUUAAUAGUGAUACAACAGCCUUCUAUUUGAUUUACUGCCAACCAAGAACAAAGUGGAGAAAUAUUGAUUGUGCUGUCCAGUUUUAGGGAAUUUGUUUACUUUCAUUUCUUUACACAUUGGAGGAUGAAACCAAUUAACUUUUAGGAUUUCUGUGUAACGGAAUAUGAUGAGGAACACAGCAACACUUCUGUGACAUUUCUGCCAAAAACGAAAACCUGAACCUAAUUAUAAGAAAACAUCAGAUGAACCCAAACCGAGGGACAUUCUUCAAAAGUGUUAAGGUCACAAAGGACAAGGACACACUAAGAAAUUCUUCCAGUUUGAAGGAGACUAAAGAGAUGUGACAACAAAAAUUCAACAUGUGAUUCUGACUGGAUCCUUCGACUAGAAAGAGCAUUAUUAGAACGCUGGGCAAAAUGUGGGCAUUUAUGGUUUGUUUAGAGGAGUGCAUUAGCAUUACUUGCCUAUUUUGGUGGUUGUAUUGUGGUUAUAUAGAAAUGGCUUUGUUUAUAGAAAUGAUACAUGAAAGUAUUCGGAAGUUUUGGAGCUUCAUGUAAGUAACUUAUUCUCAAUAGUUCAGUUUACAAGUUUAAAAAGAAAAAGAAUAUUAUAGAAAAGAAUUGUUUUGUUUUGUUUUGAGACAGAGUCUCAGUCUGUCACCCAGGCUGGAGGGCAGUGGCACUUUCUAGGCUCACUGCAACCUCCAUCUCCUGGGUUCAAGUGAUAGAAAAGAAUAUUAAUGUUAUGGCAGUUCUAAUCCCACAAGAUAAUAAAGAACAGGUUUCUC